RNAcentral lists this ribosomal RNA (704 nucleotides) under uncultured bacterium. Its description in RNAcentral is "partial 16S ribosomal RNA". It matches the Rfam family "Bacterial small subunit ribosomal RNA", at positions 1 to 695 of the family's 1533-position model. The record is from RNAcentral.
CGGAUCCGCGGCCGCUGCAGAGUUUGAUCCUGGCUCAGGACGAACGCUGGCGGCGUGCCUAACACAUGCAAGUCGAGCGGGGAUAUCGAGGAGCAAUCUGAGGUAUCUUAGCGGCGGACGGGUGAGUAACACAUGGGUAACCUGCCCUAAGGAGGGGGAUAACAGUCCGAAAGGAUUGCUAAUACCGCAUAAAGCUAUUGUUCUGCAUGGGAAAAUAGCCAAAGGAGAAAUCCGCCUUAGGAUGGGCCCGCGGCCAUUAGCUAGUUGGUGAGGUAACGGCUCACCAAGGCGACGAUGGGUAGCCGGCCUGAGAGGGUGGCCGGCCACACUGGGACUGAGACACGGCCCAGACUCCUACGGGAGGCAGCAGUGGGGAAUAUUGCGCAAUGGGGGAAACCCUGACGCAGCGACGCCGCGUGAGCAAAGAAAGGCCUUCGGGUUGUAAAGCUCUGUCUUCCCUGAAGAAAAGAUGACGGUAAGGGAGGAGGAAGCCACGGCUAACUACGUGCCAGCAGCCGCGGUAAUACGUAGGUGGCGAGCGUUGUCCGGAAUUAUUUGGGCGUAAAGGGUGCGUAGGCGGCUCUUUAAGUGAGGUGUGAAACCCCUGGGCUCAACUCAGUGGAUGGCAACUUCAAACUGGGGGAGCUAGGCGUGCAAGGUGAGGAAAGCGGAAUUUCCCGUUGAAGCGGUCGAAUAGCGAUGAG